CUGGUUGAUCCUGCCAGUAGUCAUAUGCUUGUCUUAAAGAUUAAGCCAUGCAGGUGUAAGAUCAUAUCUAUGAAUGGUGAAUCCGCGAAUGGCUCAUUAAAUCAGUUAUAAUUUAAUAGGAUGUGAUUCGUUAAUUGGAUAACUGUGGUAAUUCUAGAGCUAAUACAUGCAUAUACGGCUGAACUUUGUUUGGCUGUGCUUUUAUUAGUGCAAACCAGGCCUUCGGGCUGCAAAAUGGUGACUCUGAAUAACUUUGCUGAGCAUUUGGACCUUGUCAGUGCUAUUCCUUUAAAGUAUCUGCUCUAUCAACUGUCGAUGGUAUAUUAUAUGUUUACCAUGGUUGUAACGGGUAACGGGGAAUUAGGGUUCGAUUCCGGAGAGGGAGCCUGAGAAACGGCUACCACAUCUAAGGAAGGCAGCAGGCGCGCAAAUUACCCAAUCCCGGCUCGGGGAGGUAGUGACAAAAAAUAACAAUGCGGGACUCUUAUGAGGCUUCGUAAUUGGAAUGAGUACAUUCUAAAUCCUUUAACGAGGAACUAUUGGAGGGCAAGUCUGGUGCCAGCAGCCGCGGUAAUUCCAGCUCCAAUAGCGUAUAUUAAAGUUGUUGCGUCUAAAAAGCUCGUAGUUUGAAAACUUGCCUUGGCUUACAACAGACGUCUAAGGGCGUCACCGUUUGUCGAGAGCAAAUAUGGGUGACUGUUCUUGCCUUCUUCACUGAUUGGCUCGUAAAAGUCAUCGAAGAUCACUUUGAUUAAAUUAGGGUGCUCAAAGCAAGUGUGCUACUUGAAUAUGAAUGCAUGGAAUGAUGGAAUAUGUUGUUGUUCUAUUUGUUGGUUUUUUGAAUGACGAAAUGAUUGAAAGGAACUGUUGGGGGCAUUCGUAUUGUUGUGAGAGAGGUGAAAUUCUUAGACCAUCCCAAGACGAACUACUGCGAAAGCAUUUGCCAAGAAUGUUUUCAUUGAUCAAGAACGAAAGUUAGAGGUUCGAAGGCGAUCAGAUACCGCCCUAGUUCUAACCAUAAACUAUGCCGACUAGCAAUUUGCUUUGUAUUUCUAUGACUAAGUGAGAGGCCACGGAAAACCAAAGUAGGGUUAUGGGGGAAGUAUGGUUGCAAAGCUGAAACUUAAAGGAAUUGACGGAAGGGCACCACCAGGAGUGGAGCCUGCGGCUUAAUUUGACCCAACACGGGAAAACUUACCUGGUCCUGACACUAGAAGGAUUGACAGAUUGAUAGCUCUUUCUUGAUUUGGUGGAUGGUGGUGCAUGGCCGUUCUUAGUUGGUGGAGUGAUUUGUCUGGUUAAUUCCGAUAACGAACGAGACUCUAGCCUAUUAAAUAAUAUGCGGAAUCAAUUUCUCCCGCGUUAUUUCUUAAUGGGAUCAAGCGUGUUUAACGCUUUGAAACAGAGCAAUAACAGGUCUGUGAUGCCCUUAGAUGUUCGGGGCUGCACGCGCGCUACAUUGAAGAACAAAGUGAGCCCUCUGGCUUUUAACAAAGCUAGAAAUCUUUUAAUGUUCUUCUUAAUGGGGAUAGGGGAUUGCAAUUGUGCCCCUUGAACGAGGAAUUCCCAGUAAGUGCUAGUCAUUAGCUAGUACUGAUUACGUCCCUGCCCUUUGUACACACCGCCCGUCGCUACUACCGAUUGAAUAGUUUAGUGAGAUCAUCUGAGUGUUUGUAUGUGCAUUCUGUGCUUGUAUGGUGUACGAAGAAGAUCAAACUUGAUUAUUUAGAGGAAGUAAAAGUCGUAACAAGGUU
This 1754-nucleotide ribosomal RNA is filed under the name metagenome. RNAcentral describes it as "SSU rRNA". It matches the Rfam family "Eukaryotic small subunit ribosomal RNA". The record is from RNAcentral.